This 1202-nucleotide long non-coding RNA is filed under the name Junco hyemalis (dark-eyed junco). RNAcentral's name for it is "lncRNA (ENSJHYG00000014968.1)". The record is from RNAcentral. Lineage: Eukaryota; Metazoa; Chordata; Aves; Passeriformes; Passerellidae.
CUGCACUUUGUCGGUGGCACCAGCACAGAGGCAAAACCACAGCGUUCUCCUUGUGGUUCAAAUUGGAGCAGGGACGUGGCAAAGCAGGAGAGAGGGGAUGGACCCUCCCCAGCUCCUGAUUUCUGUGUCAGGAUCAGAGAGGACCAUCCUGCUGCUGGCUCUGUCCCCACAGUCCCUGAGGCUCCAUGGCCAAGGUGAUUCCUCAGGUUGAUAUUCCCAACCCAGGCAAGAAUUUCCAGCCAUUUACCAGCAUGGAAAUGGAUGAACAUCACGUGGCAGAGGUGCAGACUGAUCCUGAGGAUCAUGAAAUCCCUUUUCCAUCCCUCUCUCUGUUCCCACUGCAUGGUGAGAUGCUUGUGCCCUUCCUCCAGCAGGAGCUGCCUCGUCCUCUCUGUAUCACCAGCCUAGGAGUGUUUGGUACCAGUCUCUUGGCAAAAGAGCCUGAGGAAUGGAAGGGUAAAGAAAUAUGACCCAGCUGCUAUGCACAAUGAGGUUUGUAAGUCCUUGUAUGGUAUAAAUAAGCAUAUUACACAGUUAUUAGAAAUUUGGCACUGUCGCUGUUUAGAAGCAAGGCUCUGAUGCUGUGUAAUUCCUCCCGAGUUCAUGCAUAACUCAGUAUUAGCCUUCCAUUCUUCCAGCCUUGUUACCGGCCAAAUUCGGCAACUUUUUCUCAGUACUCAUCCAUUCAAACCCUUCUCAGCUGUGUAAACCGGUGAGUUUCCUCUCAAGUCAGUAAAUCUGUGCCAGCCCACGCGGUCGAGGCUCGGUCCUGACUUUCCCCCGCCUCGCACGGGGCUUAGAGCCGCCGCCGUCGGGUCCCGUCGGGUGCGGGCUCGGGAUUCGCUGCUCCCCUCGUCUCCGUCGUGCUUGGCAGCUUUUCUCGGGGGGAAGAGAAGCAGGUUAUCUUCGGGGCAAGAAGAGCCACGGAAAGGGGCAGCGACUGGAAGGAAGAGCGCUGGAGCAUCCCGCGGGACGGAUCCCACUCGGGUUUCCCCGGCCCGCGGACUGAGUGUAACUUCGGAGAAAAGCGACAGCGAACUUUUAUUAAUCGCCGGUGUUCAGGGCCAAGGCAUGAGUGAGCUCGGUGACAGUGAUGAGUGGUUUGGAGCGCUGGUCCCUGAAAGCGGGGCUUAUCCUCCCACUGCUCCCUUGGCUCGGCGUUGAUGAGCCGUGAAUAGGAGCCACCCUGCCGUCGGGGAUCC